CCUUAUUGUUAGUUGCUACCAUUUAGUUGAGCACUCUAGCGAGACUGCCCGGGUUAACCGGGAGGAAGGUGGGGAUGACGUCAAAUCAUCAUGCCCCUUAUGUCUAGGGCUACACACGUGCUACAAUGGCUGGUACAGAGAGAUGCUAAACCGCGAGGUGGAGCCAAACUUUAAAACCAGUCUCAGUUCGGAUUGUAGGCUGAAACUCGCCUACAUGAAGCUGGAGUUGCUAGUAAUCGCGAAUCAGAAUGUCGCGGUGAAUACGUUCCCGGGCCUUGUACACACCGCCCGUAA
RNAcentral lists this ribosomal RNA (294 nucleotides) under Clostridium saccharoperbutylacetonicum. Its description in RNAcentral is "partial 16S ribosomal RNA". It matches the Rfam family "Bacterial small subunit ribosomal RNA", at positions 1103 to 1399 of the family's 1533-position model. Lineage: Bacteria; Bacillati; Bacillota; Clostridia; Eubacteriales; Clostridiaceae. The record is from RNAcentral.